RNAcentral lists this ribosomal RNA (288 nucleotides) under uncultured bacterium. RNAcentral's name for it is "partial 16S ribosomal RNA". It matches the Rfam family "Bacterial small subunit ribosomal RNA", at positions 28 to 314 of the family's 1533-position model. The record is from RNAcentral.
GAUGAACGCUGGCGGCGUGCUUAACACAUGCAAGUCGAACGGUGAAAGAGGAGCUUGCUCCUCUGGAUCAGUGGCGAACGGGUGAGUAACACGUGAGUAACCUGCCCUUGACUCUGGGAUAAGCGUUGGAAACGACGUCUAAUACCGGAUACGACUUCCGAAGGCAUCUUCUGGAAGUGGAAAGAAUUUCGGUCAAGGAUGGACUCGCGGCCUAUCAGCUAGUUGGUGAGGUAACGGCCCACCAAGGCGACGACGGGUAGCCGGCCUGAGAGGGUGACCGGCCACACU